Molecule: ribosomal RNA, 500 nt
Filed under: uncultured bacterium
Lineage: Bacteria
Description: partial 16S ribosomal RNA
Rfam family: Bacterial small subunit ribosomal RNA
Source: RNAcentral
AUUGAACGCUGGCGGCAUGCCUUACACAUGCAAGUCGAACGGUAACGGGUCCUUCGGGAUGCCGACGAGUGGCGAACGGGUGAGUAAUAUAUCGGAACGUGCCCAGUAGUGGGGGAUAACUGCUCGAAAGAGCAGCUAAUACCGCAUACGACCUGAGGGUGAAAGGGGGGGAUCGCAAGACCUCUCGCUAUUGGAGCGGCCGAUAUCAGAUUAGCUAGUUGGUGGGGUAAAGGCCUACCAAGGCAACGAUCUGUAGUUGGUCUGAGAGGACGACCAGCCACACUGGGAAUGAGACACGGCCCAGACUCCUACGGGAGGCAGCAGUGGGGAAUUUUGGACAAUGGGCGCAAGCCUGAUCCAGCAAUGCCGCGUGCAGGAAGAAGGCCUUCGGGUUGUAAACUGCUUCUGUCAGGGAAGAAAUCUUCUGGGCUAAUACCCCGGGAGGAUGACGGUACCUGAAGAAUAAGCACCGGCUAACUACGUGCCAGCCGCCGCGGUAA